This 1323-nucleotide ribosomal RNA is filed under the name metagenome. RNAcentral's name for it is "bacterial LSU rRNA". It matches the Rfam family "Bacterial large subunit ribosomal RNA", at positions 1561 to 2925 of the family's 2925-position model. The record is from RNAcentral.
AGUGGAUGGGGAGCAACCUAUGUUGUGCGUGUGUAAAGGUAGUGCCAAGAAAAGCGAUGAUCAUGUUGAAAAUCAAUUCCCGGUACCCGAAACCGACACAGGUGGGCAAGUAGAGAAUACUAAGGGGCGCGAGGUAACUCUCUCCAAGGAACUCGGCAAAAUGACCCCGUAACUUAGGGAGAAGGGGUGCCACCGAGAGGUGGUCGCAGUGAAGAGGCCCAGGCGACUGUUUAGCAAAAACAUAGGUCUCUGCAAACUCGAAAGAGGAGGUAUAGGGGCUGACGCCUGCCCAGUGCCGGAAGGUUAAAGAAGUUGGUCAGUUUUAGGAUGAAGCUAGCGACUGAAGCCCCGGUGAACGGCGGCCGUAACUAUAACGGUCCUAAGGUAGCGAAAUUCCUUGUCGGGUAAGUUCCAACCCGCACGAAAGGCGUAACGAUCUGGGCGCUGUCUCGGAGAGAGGCUCGGCGAAAUAGGAUUGUCUGUGAAGAUACGGACUACCUGCAUUUGGACAGAAAGACCCUAUGAAGCUUUACUAUAGCUUGGAAUUGUGUUCGGGCUUCCUGUGCGCGGGAUAGGUGGGAGGCGUAGAAGGUAUUCUUGUGGGGAUACUGGAGCCAACGGUGAGAUACCACUCUCAGGAGGCUAGAAUUCUAACUUAAUUAAGGACAGUUUCAGGUGGGUAGUUUGACUGGGGCGGUCGCCUCCAAAAAGGUAACGGAGGCGUACAAAGGUUCCCUCAGACUGGUUGGAAAUCAGUCGAAGAGUGCAAAGGCAGAAGGGAGCUUGACUGCGAGAAGUACAGUUCGAGCAGGGUGGAAACACGGUCUUAGUGAUCCGACGGUGCUGUGUGGAAGGGCCGUCGCUCAACGGAUAAAAGUUACUCUAGGAUAACAGGCUGAUCUCCCCCAAGAGUUCACAUCGACGGGGAGGUUUGGCACCUCGAUGUCGGCUCAUCGCAACCUGGGGCGGAAGUACGUCCCAAGGGUUGGGCUGUUCGCCCAUUAAAGCGGUACGUGAGCUGGGUUCAGAACGUCGUGAGACAGUUCGGUCCAUAUCCGAUGUAGGCGUGAGAAUAUUGAGAGGAGCCUUCCUUAGUACGAGAGGACCGGGAAGGACGCACCGCUGGUGUACCUGUUAUGAUGCCAAUUGUAAACGCAGGGUAGCCAAGUGCGGAGAGGAUAACCGCUGAAAGCAUCUAAGUGGGAAGCCCACCUCAAGAUGAGUAUUCUGGUGUAAGGUCACGGGAAGACGACCCGUAAAUAGGCACGAGGUGGAAGUGCAGAGAUGUAUGAAGCCGAAGUGUACUAAUAGACCGUCGGCUUG